AUUUUUUCUUCUUCUUCGUU
This 20-nucleotide small RNA is filed under the name Arabidopsis thaliana (thale cress). RNAcentral describes it as "ATSL243510". Lineage: Eukaryota; Viridiplantae; Streptophyta; Magnoliopsida; Brassicales; Brassicaceae. The record is from RNAcentral.